Molecule: ribosomal RNA, 119 nt
Filed under: Oreochromis niloticus (Nile tilapia)
Lineage: Eukaryota; Metazoa; Chordata; Actinopteri; Cichliformes; Cichlidae
Source: RNAcentral
GCUUACGGCCAUACCACCCUGAACGGGCCCGAUCUCGUCUGAUCUCGGAAGCCAAGCAGGGUCGGGCCUGGUCAGUACUUGGACGGGAGACCGCCUGGGAAUACCAGGUGCUGUAAGCU